AUACGUAGAGAGCAAGCGUUGUCCGGAAUCAUUGGGCGUAAAGGGUACGCAGGCGGUCUAGUAAGUCAGAGGUGAAAUCCAUCAGCUCAACUGGUGAACUGCCUUUGAUACUGUUAGACUUGAGGAUAAGAGAAGAAAGUGGAAUUCCUAGUGUAGUGGUGAAAUACGUAGAUAUUAGGAAGAAUACCGAUGGCGAAAGCAGCUUUCUAACUUACUCCUGACGCUCAGGUACGAAAGCUAGGGUAUCAAACGGGAUUAGAUACCCCGGUAGUCCUAGCCGUAAACGAUGGAUACUAGGUGUCGGAGGUUCGACUCCUUCGGUGCCGGAGUUAACGCAUUAAGUAUCCCGCCUGGGGAUUACGACCGCAAGGUUGAA
RNAcentral lists this ribosomal RNA (376 nucleotides) under uncultured bacterium. Its description in RNAcentral is "bacterial SSU rRNA". It matches the Rfam family "Bacterial small subunit ribosomal RNA", at positions 523 to 898 of the family's 1533-position model. The record is from RNAcentral.